This 441-nucleotide ribosomal RNA is filed under the name uncultured bacterium. RNAcentral's name for it is "bacterial SSU rRNA". It matches the Rfam family "Bacterial small subunit ribosomal RNA", at positions 338 to 795 of the family's 1533-position model. The record is from RNAcentral.
CCUACGGGUGGCUGCAGUGGGGAAUAUUGCACAAUGGGCGAAAGCCUGAUGCAGCAACGCCGCGUGAGCGAUGAAGGCCUUCGGGUCGUAAAGCUCUGUCCUAAGGGAAGAAUAUUGACGGUACCUUAGGAGGAAGCCCCGGCUAACUACGUGCCAGCAGCCGCGGUAAUACGUAGGGGGCUAGCGUUAUCCGGAAUUACUGGGCGUAAAGGGUGCGUAGGCGGCCCUUCAAGUCAGAGGUGAAAGCCCGGGGCUCAACCCCGGGACUGCAUUUGAAACUGUCUUACUAGAGUGCAGGAGAGGAAAGCGGAAUUCCUAGUGUAGCGGUGAAAUGCGUAGAUAUUAGGAAGAACACCAGUGGCGAAGGCGGCUUUCUGGACUGUAACUGACGCUGAGGCACGAAAGCGUGGGGAGCGAACAGGAUUAGAUACCCGGGUAGUC